This 23017-nucleotide long non-coding RNA is filed under the name Vitis vinifera (wine grape). RNAcentral describes it as "long non-coding RNA (VVIN_LNC001392)". Lineage: Eukaryota; Viridiplantae; Streptophyta; Magnoliopsida; Vitales; Vitaceae. The record is from RNAcentral.
AGCCUGCUUGUUCGCAUAGAUUUUAACGACAUGAACAUUGUGGUAAGGUUAGAGAGUAAUGCGAAUGUAGGAGCUUAUAUUAGAAAUGACACAAACACGUAAAUAGAAGUAAUCUAUAUAUGAUAUUACUCAUGGACUACAAGCAAAGAAGUACAAUACAUGGAGUAAGUGAUGAAAUGAGCAUUCCUCACUACUACUGCUUGACUGAUGGAACAUGAUGCACGAGAUAGCAUAAGUAGUAGUAGGAAGCAGCUCUUAUUUGUGGCGUCGGUAUACAUCAUACUAGGUAGAUGGUUCAAUUGGCAUGGAUGGGUGGUGGAGCCUUGAAGUGCUUGUGAUGGGGAGCCCACGGCUUCUUCUCAGGAGUUGGUGGCUUCUUGUAUGGAGUUGAUGGAGGUGUUUCUACUGGAGGGUGGCCAGGGUAGUGACCCUGGGGUGGUGAAGGUUCUUUUGUCGGUGGUGGCCUCACUAUUAUUGGCGGUAGAGUUGGUGGCUUGGGCGUUGGCGGUGGUCUCACUACUCUUGGGGGUAGAGUUGGUGUCUUGUGUUUUGGUGGUGGAGGUGGCUUAACAGGAGUUGGUGGCUUGUAUUCUGGGGGUGGUUUCUCCACCGGAGGUGGCUUAUAAACUGGAGUUGGUGGCUUGUAUUCUGGGGGUGGCUUCUCCACUGGUGGUGGCCUGUAAACAGGGGUUGGUGGCUUAUAUUCUGGGGGAGGCUUCUCCACUGGAGGCGACUUAUAAACAGGGGUUGGUGGCUUGUAUUCCGGGGGUGGCUUCUCUACGGGAGGUGGCCUGUAAACAGGGGUUGGUGGCUUCUCCACCGGAGGUGGCUUAUAAACGGGGGUUGGUGGCUUGUAUUCUGGGGGUGGUUUCCCCAGUGGUGGAGACUUGUAAACAGGAAGAGGUGGUUUGUGCUCAUAUGGGGGUGGCUUGUGGUCAUUAGCAAGUGAGGGAGUGGUGAGGACCACCAAUCCAAGGAACAACACGAGUGAGCAAGCAGAAGACAUGUUUGGGCUCUGGUGAUGCACAAGUAGAAGAAAUGGGAACCAUUUAUAAUGCUUCGAGACCUUGGUUAGCACCAAAAUAUGUCAAAAUCUUGAUUACUUCAUUUCAUACAUAGAUUUAAAAUUAUUUCAAUCAACCAUGAUCCUUAAUUUUCUGGGUGGUCCAUAAAUGUAAUGGGGUCAAUUUGGGACCUAACAAGCUGAGAAGUUUGACAAUGCUGCAAGGCUUCAUCCGAAAGUCCGGGGAAGAAUAUUAGGAGUUACACUCCGUUUCCUUUUUUGGGUGCAUUUUUCUCCUUUAACAUUCUAUUCCCUUUUACAUUAGCAUUUGAUCUUAGCUCAUUUCAAGUACAAGUUUCUUGAACCCUAUACCAUUGUCAAAGUUGAGUAACCAUCUCUACUUUGCUCAAGAAACAUAAAAGACAAUGACAAUAAAGAAAAAGGAGAGAGACCAUACGUGACUUGGUUUAUAGGUGGCUUUGUGUUGACAUUUGAGUAUGGAAGCCGACAUGCAUCUUAGCUUCGAUUUUAAUUAAAUUUGUACAUUAGUGUCUGUGUCAUUCAUUUUGGUAUAAAAGGUCUCUUGAUUUCGUAAGUUUGGUAAGAACCGUUGAAAAUAGCAGUAGCAGCACAUGGUCCACUUUCUUUCACAAAAUAAUUUUAAAAGUUUAGAAGCAUAGGAGGUAACAUUAGUGGCCUUGUGGCUCAGCCACGAGUACUAUGUGGUGCUCGAGAAAUUGAGUUUAAUUUCCUUCCGAUAGUUCAUGAUAAGGUCCGUCACUGUCCUGAGACAGAUUGCGUUUUUUCUUUUUUCCUUUUUUAGUGUUUUAUUGACUAGCUAGGUGUGACUUUUCCUACUUUAAGGCACGAGGCAGAAAAGAAACUGGGAUUUAGUGCUUAAGAAGGCAAAUUUAAUUCGAUUUGGAUCUAAAAUUUGCCAGCAACAUGAGAUUUUCCAGCCUAUCGUUGCUCCACAUAUAGACAAGGCACUUGUAGAAGUGGCUUGUUUGUAGCCAUUCCCGAUAUUUGGACUCACUUGAUUCACCGGACACUUUGAUAAAAUUUAAUAUUUAUUAUUUAAUAAUUUAAAUUGAUUUAAAAUUAAAUUAUACCGAAGUUGUGAUUUAAAAAUUAUUAUUUAAUUCUUACUUUUAAAUAUGAAGAUUAUUUGAUAAAAAUAAUUUAAAAUUUAUUAUAAAUUAUCAAAUUAACAUAUUUAUCCUUAUAAAUUAUAAUUAAAACAGAAAAGGUCAAAUGAUUUGAGUAUCCAUAGAUGUGGUAAAAUAAUAAAAAAGAUUAUAAAAACAAUUAUGAUAAAUAAAGAUAAAAAGUAAAAUGAAUAUGUGAAUUUAAAGAAUAAAUUAAUUAUUUUUAUUUAUUACUUAAAAUUAUUUUUGACUUUAAAUUAUAUUAUUAAAUUAUUUUACCAAACAUACUUAAUUUAGUUAAUAAUUUAAAUUUAAUUUAAGUUAUUAAAUUGAUUCACCAAAUACCCACUUAAUCAAAGACUGAAGUAUACAUUAUUUGGCCAAAUGCAGCUAUUGAAAUUUAACUUUUUCCAAACUUAUUCAUUUUGUGGAAAUAUUUUUAGAAAUGAUUUUAAAAAUGCACUAUUCUGUGUGUUGAUUUUAUAUUUUGGCAUUAAUCCAACAUAGAAAACGGUUCUUAUUUUCGCUGUUAAAUAGGUACCAGAUCCUUAAUUAGUGCCGUGAAUCCGGCAGCUUCCAAUGAGUAAUUUGGACUUGGGUAUUGACAAUGUGUGGCCAUGCUUCUACUAUUUUAUUAUUCUUGAAACAUAUAUGAUAUAUUGGACUUUAUACAGGGAAAAAAAAAAAAAAAAGUCUUCACCAAAAAUGAUUCCUCCUAAAAAAUAGACUCCACAAACUAGGUUUAACAGGAAAAUGAUUCUAAUCUAGUAGUUUCCAGCCACAUGAGCAUUUACGUAACAAUAGUAUAGUUGAUAACGACUUUUAUUUUAUUUAUUUUUAAAUAGUUAAAGGGAUAAUUUUUGAGCUUAAAUUUUAUUUUUUUAUUUAGAAACAUUUUACUUUAUUUUUUAAUCAUAAUUCUAUUAUAUUAAUGUUUUAUUUUCUAUUUUUUAAUAUAUAAGGAGAUACUAAAUUUAUGUGAUUAUUUUUUAAAAAUUUAGUAUAUGAAAUUAAAUAAUUGGAUAUAUAUACAUAUAUCAUAUAAUGUUUUUUAAGUGUGAUUUUUGAACUUUUUAGUCAUUUUAUAAGUUUAAGCUUUUGAUUUUUUUUUUUAAACUUUGGUAUUUUUUAUUUUAUAUAAAACUAUUUUGAUUUAAUUUUAUUAAAAAAUAUUGGUAUUAUAAAUUAUUGUAUUAAUUAUUUUUUUAUAUUAUAAUGUAACUGGUAUAUACUAAAAAAUGUAUGCAAGUUCAAUUUAAGUUUCAAAUUAAAAAAUUUCAUUUAAAUAUUUAAUAACUUGUUCAUAAUAAAAAAUUAAACAACAUAAUACAAAUGAAAAGAAACAUAAAAGAAAAAGGAAAAAAUGGUCCUCUCUGUGUGUCACAUUACUAGGUCAUCCUCUUUUUCUAUGACCCUUACAAUAGAAUGGCAUAUUUGUCAAAUCUACUUAUGAAAGUUGGAAUGUUUCUACAUGUGUAGGGUCCAUUGGAACUAAUGGAGGAAAGGCUUAACGUCUAUGUAAAUCACAACGUUGCCUAGGUGGGCAUAGAUCUAGUUGUGUAACAUGAGAUGGUGUGAGAGUACAAUAUAUGCAUUGUAGUCUCUAUGGGAAGAGAGAUAGGUAAUGGUAGGGUGGUAGACGGUAGGGUGAUCUCUAAUAUAAUGACAUUUGAUGUGGUGGCUUCUAAGAGAGGAGAUAUAAGAGAUGGUAGAAUGACAUUUGGUGUAAUGGUCUCUAGUGCAAUGACAUGUGAUAUGGUGACCUAUAAAGAAGAGAUAUAGGUGAUGGUGAAGUGGUAUGUGGUGUAGUGACCUUUGAGAUAGAAAAUAGAGGUAAUGGUAGGUUGGCAGGUGGAGUGGUCUUUGGUGUAGUGACAUCAAUUAUAAAUGUCUCCAAGGGAGGAAAUAAAGGUGAUGGUAGGUAGUAAAUGUUGAGGUGGUCUUUGAUAUGUUAUGCUCUAAGAGAGAAGGUAUAGGUAAUGAUAAUAGGGAAUUUGACAUAGUGGUGUUGGAAAUAAAAAGUGAAAGUGACCGUAGAGGUGAAAGGGCAAGUGUAAAAGCCUCAAGUACGAAUGGAGUAAUUAAUGUGGAUGGUGCUAACAUAGUCUUAGGUGGAUACACAAAUAGUCAUAGUCAUCAACUAGCUUGCCCACCAUCUGUCUUUCUGCUAGUGAUAGGUUACAUCUUAAUAGUAAUGGCCAACAUAAGUGGUGUGGAUCCGAUUUUUUUACGUGUGUCCCCACUCAAUCGACAAGACUUAUUUUUUAUUAGUGAAAAAUUAAUUUUGGAAAAGUUGGAGUCACCACUUAUUUUAUUUUAUUUUAAAAAGGAAAGUAAAACAAGAAAGAGAACUCUAAAGAAGUGACUUCAUAGUUUUGGAAAAGUUAGUCUUAAAAAAUCCAAGUCUUGGUCCGGAGAUCAGGUUACUUAUUGGGAAGAUACCUCUAAGAGGUAAUACCCCUCUAAACCCUAAAGAAGUCUCUAAUGACUAAGUUGAGGAGAAUGUGGUAAUUAAUUAAUUGAUUGAGGGUACCUAGGUAGACUAAGGUGAUUUCAGAAUUAACAUACCAAGCUAGAAAGUCCAAUCAUGAUCAUAAAAGAGAGUCAAAGUAUGUACCUGAACUGCUUCUCAAACGCUAUCAUAAAACAUCAAAGUUAGUAUAGAAAUAUAACACAUAAUAUUUGUUUUAUCCAAGCAAAUAAAGCAUACAUCUAAGCACCCAAGAAUCACAUCAAGUAUGGAUAUAGUCAUCAAUAGCAUACGUGUCCAUAGAACUAUCGAAAGUAAAUGUGGAGGAGCGUAUCUGGACAACAUAGAUAACUUAUAAUGUGCUUCCACAAGACAUGGGGGUUAGAUAAAAGUUAUAAUAAUAAUUAGUAAAUGAAAGAAUUCUAGCAUGUUUGGUAUCUAAAUAACAUAGCAAAAAUGAACAAGAGUACACGAAAACAUCAAUUAUCACACGAGUCAUAUUGGCUAGUAUUUAAUCAAUAAACCAACAAUAAAUGACUAUAAACAUAUAAAAUGACAUAUUCAAAGAGACCCAAACAUAAAGAGCCUAGAACACAAGCUUACACUAAAUUUAGAAAACUAAAACAUGGAAUUUUAAAAGCAUAAAUUAGCAAACAAAUUGAUGGAAACUAAAUUUAGAUAACUUAAGAAUAUUUUUCUUAUCCUUCAAUUUAAAUCAGUAAGCCAACAAUAAAAAAUUAUAGAAACAUGGAAUAUCAAGAUCAAUGGGAUACCUAAACUAUAAUUUUUAAAAGAAAAUAAACUAAGCAUAAUAUCUACAAAGCAACUAAACUAACAUUUUUUUAAAAAUAAAUUAAACAUGACAUUAAUGGAGUAACCAAACUAAAUUAAAGUAAACUAAAAACAUUUAUGAAUUUUCAAACAUGGAAUCAGCUUUCUUAGUAAAUUAAAAUUAUUAAAAUAAAAUCUAAGCUUAAAAAUGAAUUAAAUACUAACUAAAGCAAAUCUAAAACCAAAUAUUUAACACAUAGGAUCAAUUAUAUUAACAAACUAAAAUUUUAUAAGAACACUUAAACCUAAAGUUGAAUUAAAAACUAACCAAUUUUUAAAACUAGAUCUUUAACCCAUAGGAUCAAUUAUAUUAACAAAUAAAUAAUAAAUAAUAAAUAAAUAAAACUCAAACCUAAAGAUGAACUAGAAAUGUACCAAAGUAAAUUCAAAACAAGAUCUUUAACACAUUAGAUCAAUUAUAUUGACUAACUAAAAAAAAAAAAAAAAAACACUCAAACCUGAAACGAUGUAUUAGAAACUAACCAAAGCAAAUUUAAAAUAGAGUCUUUAACACAUAGGAUCAAUUAUAAUCACUAACUUAAAUUACAAUUUUUGAAACAUGAACUAAUUAGUGUUGGAUUAAUUAAACUAAUUAACUAAAAAAAACUAUAAACUAGAAUACGGUGAAUCAAGAAUUCAAAUCAACAAACAUAAAAUAUGGGUACAAUGAAAUGAAAAUCUAUUAAACUAAUAAGACGGAAAUAUGACAAACUCAUGAACCCACAUUUUGAUCAACUAGGAAAUAGAAAUUAAUAGACCUGUAGCAUGGAUACAAUGAAAUGAGAUCAGUUAAAUUUAUUUGCCGAAAUUCUAAAAAACACAUACACUCAAAUAAGAUCUAAAUCUAAGACCAAGCAAAACUCAAACUUUCUCAAUCUAAUGCAAUGAAUCAAAACUAAAAUUAAAUAGAAAUCAAACCAUUUUUUUUUUAUCUAAUAUAAUAAAUCAAAGCUAAAACUAAACAAAAUCGAAUUUUCUUAAUUUAAUAUGAUGAGUCAAAGCUAAAAUUGAACAAAGUUCAAACCUUUAUAUAAUGGAUCAAAGUUAAAUCUAAAUGAAAUCCAUACUUCCACAAUUUGAUAUAACAAAUCAAAAAUAAAACUAGAUAAAAAAAAAGUCAAAGCCUUUCAACUUGACAUAGUGAAUCCAAACUGAAACGAAACAAAAUUUUAACUUUUCCAAUGAAACCCAAUAUAGAAAAAAUUAGCUUACCUUCUUUAGAAUAUAUGUAUGGGCCAUAAAGAAGUCACCUUGGUGCAUGUGUUCCUCACUUUGACGCCAAUGGACGACUUUCUAUGGUAGCAAAUGGAGAUCCUUUUUGGUGGUAACUUGCGUGUGGAAACCUAUGGUACAACCAAUGUCAUCUUUUAUUGUGCGUGUGGACCAAUUUCUUCUCGAGAACUCAUGUGUGUUGUGCUCAAAAUAUGUUGCCUGUGAGAAUCUAUUGGUAUACCCCACAUAUGGUUUCCUUGAGAGAAUCUGUGGUUGUGUGUGGGCGUUUUCUUCAUGACAGCAUGUGGAUGUUCCCAUCUAUGGUAGAUUGGUUGUGAUGCUUUAGUGCAUGGUCUCCAUAGGAAUAGUGUGUUAUGGAAAUUUGGUUUUUUUAUUGGUGCAUGUUGUCUAGACUUUCCCAUAUGCGUGGACUGUGUGUUCAUGCUUUUCUUUUCGGAUGGUCGCCUGUGUUAAUGUGUGGCGGUGUCUACAAUGAAAGAUACAACCCUUUCUCUCCUUCUGCGUGAUAGAAAAGUCAAUCCCCCAUGGUGCGACUAUGUUCCCUCGUCCUUUUUGAAAAAUUUUGGUGUUUUCCCCCCAAAAAAUCCCCUCCAAAAAUCUAAUUAUAAAUGUCUGCUUUGGCCUAAUGUGUGUGCUACUUUUUUUUUCCUUCUUUUUAUGGUUGUGCGUGCUUUUCUUGAUACGUGGCUUAUUUCUUAAGGAUAUGAUUCGCUCCCAAUUGGUGUCUCAGCUGAUUCAUGUCCUUUCAAUGGUCCCUGACAGUGGUGCCAUUUGAUUCGUGUCCAGCUGGUGUCCCUUGAUUGUGGUCCUCAGAAGGGAGUAAUCAAUAAAAUUUAUAACCUAUUACACCAUGUAUUAGGAUAGCCUUAGCUAGCAUAGCAUAGUGGCUCUAGGGUCGUUUAUUGGGAUGAGUUUUCACUUCACAAUUGAUAUUAAUUCAAGAGCUGAAUUGGUGCCUUUUCAUUUCAAGGUUAGCUUUAAAAGAAAACAUAAUCUUUGGUGGAAAAAGGUUUGGUUUUAAACUAACCAAAAAUAGUAACUGAUUUUACUUACAAAGAAAAGUGUUCUUUGGAGUUUAGAUCACUAGGCUCAGGUUCCUCAUACAAAAAGGAGAGUUCCGAUCAUUUGUUUCUUUUCCUCGCAUUAGAGAAUUAACAUAUAGUUAAUUCUCUAACCGGUGCGGUACAUAUGCUUCCCAUUAAUGGGUUCAAACACUAAAUACCUCUCACUGAUGCACCUUGCAAUGGCUCGUGCCUCUCACCUAGCAUUUAUCAUUCAAGGUGAUCUUUAACCUUGGAUUACCCAUCAAAAGCUCGCAAGAGAUAACUAAAGGAUGUCUCCUUAGAGUCCAAAAGCUUACCAAGUGUUGGUUAUUCUAGAAAAUCCUACCUUCAAACCACCUCCCAAAGGCUCGCAAGAGAUAAACAAGUGCAUCUCAAUGGAUGAAGAUCACUUGCCUUACCAAGUUUUGGCCCAGAUGAUUUAAUGACAUUUUAAGUUAACUAAAAAGAUAAAAACCAUUAACGGGUCACACUUUCUCUUCAUUAAAAACUAAAACAACAAAACUUCCAAUUUAUGCAUGAGGAAACUUACCUGGCUUUCUUCACUUCAAGAGAUGAAGAGCCUAGCCACUCAUCAUUUGAGGAAAAAUCCUCAGAGUUUGAUUUGCUAGAAAUAAAAAUAAUGAGAAAACAAAAAUAUAUAUAUGAAAAACAGAGCAAGUUCUCUGUAAUAUAUUUUUCUUCCUUAUACAAAAGGUUGUCUCUAAGAACAAGUUCCCGAGAUCUAUCUGAUUGUAAAUAAAAUUACAACUAUAUAUAAGAGGUUAUUCACCCCUUUGUUCUUUCUUAAAGACUAAGGAAUCCUAUGAUAGGUGGGUUACAAGGAGAGUUUGGGGAUUUAGACAUCAAAUAUCUAAAGCAAAAUAUCUCAAGAUGUUAGUCGGAAAUAUCAGGAAGCUUCAGGAGAACACCGCGACACUGUAUACUGAGAGAAAAACUCUCCGGGUAAGCUCUAUCAAAGGAUCCAGACAUGUCUGACUGGGAAAGUUGAAACGUCCUUCUCUCCCAUCCGGAUGUGAGAUAUCCGGAGAAAGUGAAAUGUCGGUCGGACAGAAUUCUUUCCCCGGGUGGAAUGAGUUGUGUUGCGCGUCGCAAGGGGGACCGUCUGCGUGUACAAGUUGUAGGGACCCCUCUCCCGGAUGACACCGAGCGCGUAAGGCUAUCCGGAUCAACUCCAUUCGGAUUCCCCAAGAGGACAUGUGGCGUGCUCCCCUAUCAGGACUCCCUUAGGGAGAAGCACACGACACUCGUGAACAUCAUACCCGGACGAUAGCAUGUCCUAUCCGGAUGUGUUGUCCGGAUCAUUGACUAAAGUGAGCAAGCCUUGCUACGUCAUUCGGACAGCUUGCCACAUACCAUGUUCCGUCGCCAUCUGAUGGUGUGUCCGAACGCCUUGUCCGGACAUCUUUUGCUCCUUGCAUUCCGGAUUUGCUUAUGACAAAGGACUUCAAAGCUUCGGUUCUUCAUGUUUCUGAGCUUUCCAUUGCUUUGCCAUGGAUUCCAAAGAACUCUCCUUAAUCACGGAUUGCUUUGGUGAUCAAAAAGUUAUCAAAACACAAAAACUUAACAUAGUUUGAUUAGAAUUGAUUGCAAGGGUUCUUAAUAUGUUAAUUGGGUUAAAAGGUGAUAACUACUACUCAAAAGUGUUUAUAAGAAUUAAUUACAAGCUAUGAAAUAACACUUUUUGAGUAGUAAUCAGGAUACAUCCUAGUUUUUCAUGGAAUUGAUAGUGGGUUGUUGUGCAUGAAUGCCACCAUUUCAACUAUGCUGUUGUUAUUUUUAAAAAAAAUAUGGAUUAUGCGCGAGUGGCAAUUCUCCACUAUGGAAAGUGGAUUGCUCCUUCAACCCAUGCAUGGCUACGUAUUCCUAUGUCUUUCUACUUGUGUUUGAUCCUCCAAAAAAAAUUUCGGUUUAGUGCUAGUAGAUUUUAAGUGGUGGAUCCCCAUUUUUUGAAAAUGAAGUGGCAGCCUCCCAUUUCAAGACAAAAUGGUAGCCUGCCUUUAAUCUUUGGAGAAAAAUCUGUGCAUGACCUUUUUUUUUCCCAAAAAAUCCGUGCAUGGUGUCCUUUAAUAUUUGGAGAAAAAUCUAUGUUGGAUCUUUUCUUUUCUAGAAACAUUUGUGUGGUCUUUUUUGUUAGCCCAAGGGUUCUUCUAAUCAAGUUUUGAUGAUAACAAACCAUGGUUAAGUGACUAAUUGGUUUAAUGAUUAAGAAUCUCAAACAUAAAAUCGAAAAUUCAUCAAAGGACCAAAUGGAUACAAGAUCGAGACGCUUGGAAGACUUGUAAUCAUAGGAAACUAAUGUAAGAUGAAUGCAUGAGUGCACUUAGGAUUUUCACACGUUUCAUGCAACUUAGAAAACCCAGUUUAUUCUUUAAAACUUCAUCCCAGUUUAUUCUUUUUAUGGUUGUGUGUGCUUUCCUUGAUACGUGGCUUAUUUAUUAAGGAUACAUCCCAGUUUUUCAUGGAAUUGACAGUGGGUUGUUGUGUGUGAAUGCCACCAUUUCAACUGUGCUGUUGUUAUUUAAAAAAAAAAAAAAUGGAUUGUGCGCGAGUGGCAAUUCUCCACUAUGGAAAGUGGAUUGCUCCUUCAACCCAUGCAUGGCUACGUAUUCCUAUGUCUUUCUGCUUGUGUGUGAUCCUCCAAAAAAAAUUUUGGUUUAGUGCUAGUAGAUUUUAAGUGGUGGAUCCCCUUUUUUUGAAAACUAAGUGGCAGCCUCCCAUUUCAAAACGAAGUGGUAGCCUGCCUUUAGUCUUUGGAGAAAAAUCUGUGCAUGACUUUUUUUUUCCCAAAAAAUCCAUGCAUGGUGUCCUUUAAUAUUUGGAGAAAAAUCUAUGUGGGAUCUUUUAUUUUCUAGAAAAAUUUGUGUGGUCUUUUUUGUUAGCCCAAGGGUUCUCCUAAUCAGGUUUUGAUGAUAACAAAUCAUGGUUAAGUGACUAAUUGGUUUAAUGAUUAAGAAUCUCAAACAUAAACUCGAAAAUUCAUCAAAUGACCAAAUGGAUACAAGAUCGAGACGCUUGGAAGACUUGUGAUCAUAGGAAACUAAUGUAAGAUGAAUGCAUGAGUGCACUUAGGAUUUUCACACGUUUCAUGCAAUUUAGAAAACCCAGUUUAUUCUUUAAAACUUCAAUUUCAUUAAAACCCGAGUUUUUAACUAAUGUACCUUAGGCAAAAUGUUUUAUAAUUGGCUUAAUAAUUCACCUAAAUACAUUUUCUAAGUGUUAGAAAAGAAAGGAAUUAAAAAAAGGUUUUCGGGGCAAAAAAGGCUCAACCGGUCGAGGCUAUGGUCAACCGGCUCAACCGGUUGAGGAACCAAUCGAUCGGUUGUGCUUGUCCGAUCGAAGACCAAUCGAGGGAUGCCAAAAAAUUUCUCUCUCUCCUAGUGGCCUUCUCUUCCCGGUCGAGGUUCGGUCUAGGCAACGGUAACAUGUCAAGCAUUAAAUGCUCCGACGACUAGUGAAUCGGUCGACCCCUAGCCCGAUCGGACGAGGUUGCCUUUUGCUGUUUUUGACUCCCGAGCUUAGAAACCUAUAAAUUGAGAGCUCCACUUCAUUUAUUGAUAAAAGAGAACACUUGCAUUCAAUAGUCUACCUACCUUUUCUUGAUCAAAAAGCUCUCAUUUCCUUCAUAGUGCAUUAAAUCAUCACUUGCAUAUCCUUUAGUGCACUAUUGUGUGUCAUCCUAGCUUUGUUUUGUAUUUGAGCUAUCCUUAAGCUAGGUUGAGGGAUUAUUUCUUAUAAAAAUCUGAGUGUUAAAGCCUUCAAGAGAUUUGAAUCUUGAAGAGAUUGUGUAAGAGCCCAUUGGAGCCGGAGUCCAAGUGUAAGAAGAUUGGAAGCUUGGUUGAAGCUUCAAGUUAGUGGAACCCUCACUCGGUUAGGAGGUUGAGGAGAGUGGACGUAGGUAAGGAAGUGUCGAACCAUUAUAAACCCGAGUUUGAAUUCUCUAACUCUAUCUCUUUAUUUUGCUUAUAUUGUGUUUGAAUUUGUUGUGAUUGAAAAGAUUUUAAAAACCUAAUUCACCCUCCCCCCUUUUGGGUUUUUUUUUCUUAAUUAAGCAUAACCUUUGUUUUCUAAUUUUCUUUUUAGGAAAAUCCAUGCGUGGUAUGUCCAAACUCUCCAAGUGGCAGUCUGCCUUCUUCUAAAAAAUUUGUUUCUAUUUCUUUAUUCGACUACCUUCCAUGUCUUCCUAAUGAGUGCUUGUGCUCAAUGGUCAAUCCCUGGUGGUUGCCUCCUUUUCCCAUAUAUACGUGUUGCAAAAUCAACAUCCCACUAUAUGUGGGUUGCCUCUAUGGCAAGUUCACAUUUCCCACAUGAAACCUAUGAGUUUCCACCAAAAAUUGCCAUGAAAAAGUCUUUAUAUGCAUCUCAUGCAAUAAAAAGUCAAGCCAAUACUCAUCUUAUCUCGAAAAAUAAGUAACCAAAAUCAAGAUCAUGCCUAAGUGAACUAUGCCAAAAGAAGUGUCCAAGUGACCUAUUAUGAAAAAAGUGCCUAAGUGACCUAAGGUGAAUGUGUGUAAGCUGGAAGGUGUCUAGGAUGUUUAGGACAAUGCCUAAGCCUAAAAUAGGGUUGCCAAGGGUCACAAUGGGGUUAGAUAAAUCUCUCAAUCAGAGUCUCCAAGGUGGCUCAUAAAAGAUAAGCUACACGAGUAAUGAUGGGCCACCAGGGAAUUAUUGUAAAGCACCAAACGAACACAUAAUAGGACAUGUGUUAGAAUGAAAAAAUGGAGGGUUUACAAGUGGUCUCAUGGAUGAGCUUGAUAAUUUAAAUGACUCACAUAAUGAACGUAUGUGAUGUUUCUCUCCAAUAACAAGCAAAACAUCACUAGCAAUAUGAUGAAUGUCUCCUAAAUCACUUGAAGUAGUCCUAGCAAAUCAAUUAGAAAAAUCACACAUAUUGCUCUAAUGUAAUAUUAUAUACAUCUGUCAAUGAAUGGGAGAACUAAUGACACAACCAUCAUGUUGAUAUCUCGAACCCUCUAAUCUCAUAUGUAGGUGGGAUCACACUUAGAAACUCAUAACACAGUAAUGACCAAUCUAAGUCAAAAUGUGUUGGUGAUCGGAGGCCCAUGAAUAUGAAGUUCUAGGAUGAUAAUGACAUCUUAUAAAGUAAUGAUCAUCUCCUUAAUAGAUAGGUGAAAUGUGUGUGUCUUAGGACACCAUCUCUCAACAAGACUUGUGAUCAAUCCCCAGUCUAGUGUAACAUGCCUAUUAUGACAUCCAUCGUAAAAUCUAGACUAGAUAAUAUAAGGACAAAUGUGAGGGUUCAUCUCCCUUUCCCACAUAAAUUUAAAAAAUUAUUAUUGACAAGUUAAGACCAAACUAAGUUGCAAAAUAUAAAUAAGUCCAUUAGAUAACAAAUUUAUGUUUUCUCAUUUUCUCAUUUUUAAAGAGAUAUUAUGUGCUUCCAUGUACAUACAUGCUAAAGUCAAUUAUACGAGACUUAUAUCCAUCUUGUAGAACCAAAUCGAACCUAUCUAAUAGAUCCAGAUUAGAAGUAUGUCCUCUAUACUCCAUAUUUAUAACACAUUUAUAAAGAUAAAUGCUAAAAAAAUGUUAAAGAUAUAAAUUUAAUGAACCAUACUUUAUGAUUUUAAUUCUCAAUUAUUGUUCAUAUUUAUAAGAGAAAAGUUAAAAAAAUUGAUAGAGUUUUCCCUCUAUCAUGGACAUUAUCCCAAAUAAAAAUAAAUUGAUUAUGCAAAUUACAUUAAUAUUUGUAACCAAAUGAUCAAUAACUAUCUUGUAUCAAUUUAGUAAAUAAAUUUAAGUAUAUCUUUUCAUUUAUGACUAACAAAUAACUCAUACUUGUCCAAUAAAAGCCACACCUAAUUUCUAAAAUUUUGUCUUCACCUCAAGUGAGUGUUACAUUGAGAAAGAAAAAAUAUGAAAGAAAAAAUGAACACCUUUUUCUUUUAAUAAAAAAAGGCCAUAACGAAACAUUAAAUCUCACUGUUACACCUAUCUUCAAUGGAAACAUGAGGAUGUGAAUGGUGGCGGUGAUAUUCUUUGCUUGAAGCUCAUAAACAAAUAUUCCUUACUAAGCCUAUGCCAUUUAGUAUUUCAAUAGUGGACCCCCCCCCCCCCCCCCCCCCCCUCCUUGCAUUUCAGAUUUAGCAAACUUAGAACCAAAUAACAAAGUGCAUUUGAACCCAUAAAGAAGUAAUGAGACUCUCCUAUAUUGGCAAUAGAAGAAAUUUUUGGAGGUAUAGGAGAUUCACGGAUGAAGAAGUUGGGCCCCAAUUGAGAUAAGACCCAAGAAAAGAUGGGGUAGAGAGGGAUGGUUGGAAAUUGUAAAGUAAGAUUUUCAAAAUGUAGUUGAUGACUAAGAUUUUGACAAUUUAAAAAAGGUUUAAAAAUGUAGUUAGCAAUCGGGGUUUUGUAACAUUUAAAAAAUAAAAUAAAAUCUCAGGCCACAUGGUAGCCCAUGUGAUUCAGAAGCUUGAGAAUUAUUUUAUAAGAAGACUUAAUUUGUGAUUUUUUUAUAACUAUAUUAUUUUUUUUCUUAACACACGAAAAAAAUUAUGAAAUAAGACAAUUUUCCUAAGAAAGCAUGUAAGUGACUCUUGGUUAUUUUAUUUAACUUCUUCUAGUUUGGAGAGGAUUAAUACCUUUGCUUUUACUCACUUGCUUGGAUAUGUACACGUUGUUCAUGUCACUUUUCAUUUAAUUUUCUGAUUAAGGGAAUUGGAACCGUACGUAACUGUCUUUAUUCCCUCUGAAACUUGGACUUGGAGUUGGACUUUCAAUCUCAUCAGUCGUGUUUCCAUAAAAAAGAAGAUGGAUUAACCAAUUUUCCUAUGCCUACUAAUCAUACACAAAACUCCACUUCCAAAUAAAAAGGAAUGGGAUAUCACUUGUUAAUAGUGGCUAAAGACUAUUAAUAACCAUGCAAAGAAAUGUCACAUUUUUUGUUCUACGCAAAUUUUAUUCAUCAACUACUAGAACCAUUUCAUACAAUAGUAGCUUUUCGAUCCUUUGAUAAAUGGACACUUGAUGUGAUAACACCAACUACACCUAUAUAUUCAAGCAAUCAUGCGUAUAUAAUAGUGGAUAUGGAUUACUUCUCUAAAUGGGCAAAAGUUUUGUCAUUCAAGGAAAGUGAACGAGGAAACACAAGUUUACUUUCAUCGGAACUAAUAUUAUAUAUUGAUAUGACUUCCCAUUAUUACUUACGAUGGAAUAUGCUUCCAUAAAAUGGCCUAGAUGAACAAACUAUCCAAGAAGUUUGGGAUCAAAUAAUAUAUAUAUAGUUCAUGUGUGAUUCUUUGGUUGACAACCUUGUUAAGGGGUGAGUGAAGCACUUUGGGCAUACCACAUACUACAUGCUAGACUUCCACCCAAGCUACCCUAUAUUCCUUAUGAACAAAGUAGAAGUUGUCAUCUCUCUUGAAUACCAAAUCCUUUCACCUAAUAAUGCUAUCUAAAAAGGUCUUAAAAAGGAUAAAAAUGCGCAUAUUUGAAUUUUUGAAUUAGGAGUGCUACUUAAAAAGAAGCUAGAUAUACAAUAAUAGAAUGUUAUCAAGCAUAUCUCUUCAAAGUUUUUGACCAAAAAAUAUAUGAUUUCUCAUUUUAGGUAGGAGACUUAGUACUCACUAUUCAAAAACCAAUUAUCAUUACUCAUAAAAACUAAUAGAAAGUUUGGGCCAAAGUAGGAUGGACCUUAUAUUAUGCAACAAUUAUGCCUAUAAAAUUGUUGCAAAAGAGGUUUUAGAAUCAAAUCAAUGAAUGAAAAAUUAUUAAAGCAUUACUAUGCUUGAAGGCUAGUCAUUUUCCCUUAAAGUGCAAUAUUAAGUUGCAUAGUACUAUGUGGAUCCGCAUUUUUCACAUGCGUUCCCACUCAUUGUCGAGACUCACUUUUUAGAAGUGAAAAAUUAGUUUUAUUAAAGUCGAAGUUGCCACUGGGGAUUUGAACCCUAACAAAAGGUUCAAUUUAAGGAUAAAAAUAUCGAUAAUCACAUAUAUAUAUAUUGGUACUUUGAUUUUAUGAAUAUAUUGAAGAAAUAUGGACAAAUAUUUUGACACAAAAUAUGUACAAAAUAAAAAUUAUAUAAAAAGUAAAAAUAAAUAUUUUAAAAUUAUUUUUUUAAAUAUAUAUAUAUAUAAUUUGACAUAUUUGAUAAUAAUAUAUAAGGGUCUCCAAAAAGCCCGUGGCCCGCUUUAGGCCCGGUCCGACCCGACAGGCUAAAGCCCGGCCCAAGCCCGCCGGGCCCAAGCUCGGCCCGAGCCCGUUUAUGGGUGGGCCGGGCCGCGAGCCCGUAGGCCUGCUCCUUUAAAAAAAAACUACAAAAAUAAAAAGUAUUAAAAAAAAUAUUCAUUUCAAAAUUUUAUUCAUUGAAUGUAUAAUUACAUUUGAAAAUGUGGGAAAAGUUUACAUCACUACAAAAUAAAUACAUCCCAACUAGGUUGGCACCUAUUUAUUUGUCAAUCAUCUGUAUUUUUCAACCACAAAAAAUAAAAAUAAAAAUAUAAUAUACAUUUAGUCAUUAUUUUCUGGCGGUGAUGGCGAACUAUCAUGCAUCCAUGAAGAUCUUGAUAAUUUUAAAGAUUCCAUAUCGGUAAGCAUCUUUGUUUCUCGAAUGGAAUCAUACAUCCUUUUAUCUGCUAUUUCCCAAUCUUUCACACAUAUCCCUGCUUUAAUAACAUCUGACGCUAAGUUGCAUCGUUUUUUACUAACUACUCUUCCACCUGCACUAAAAGCAGCUUCUGAUGCAACUGUACUCACAGGAACUGUUAGUACAUCACGAGCAAUUAUAGAAAGCACAGGAUAUUUGUGUUGAUGUGAUUUCCACCAUAUUAAAAUAUUAAAAUCUUCUUGAUCUUCAAAUGAAAUUAUAUCAGUAUUAAGAUAUUUAUCUAAAUCAGAUGUAUUAUUUGGAGAAUUAUUUGUUGUCUUUUUUCGACUUUUCAACAUUUCUAGAGCUCCUUUAUAAAAAGAUGAGGAGUUUGUAGAUGUAGGUGGUAAUUUAAUAGUAUUAAUAUCAUUACCAUAUUUUUCUUUAUAAUAGUUAUAUAAAUUAUAUAAUAAUGAAUUUAUUUCAUUUUUAAUUUCUUCAAUUUUUAUUUGGUCAUUAAAAUAAAUAAUUGUUAACCAUUCAUCCAAAGCUUCAAAUUUCAAUCUAGGGUCCACAAUUAAAGCAAUAUAAAAAAUUAAAGGUAUUUCUCCCCAAUAUUUUCUAAAUUUUUAUAUCAUUACAAAUAUUGUAUCAUUAAAUAUUUCAAAACUUAAAUAUUUUUGAAGUACAAUAAAAAUAUUAGUUAUUUGCGUAAUAACUCGAUUUGAAGUUGGAUAAUAUACACCACAAAAAAUGUUUGUUGAAGUAUCAAAAAUUUCAAAAAGAUCUCUUAAAACAUCCGCAAUAUGCCAAUCAUAAUCAUUUAAUGCAUAAAUAUCUGCUUCAUAAUCAUUGUUAAUUAAUUGUAUUUCAUAUAAUUCGACUACUUUUCUAUAUUUUGUAAUAUUUUCUAAAAGUUUAUAUGUGGAAUUCCAUCUAAUAGCCAUAUCCAAAUUUAUAUUUUUUCUUUUCAUAUUUAACAUUUUGCAACAAUCAAAAAAUAAUUCAUGUUUUGCUUGAAAACUAUUAAUACUAUAUGCAAUGCCUCUAAUUUUUUUCCAAUGUACUAUCAACAUUUUUUAAUCCAUCCUUUACAAUUAAAUUUAAAAUAUGUGCACAACAACGCACAUGAAAUAUUUUAGCAUGAUCUUCUUUUACUUGCCAAUAUCGUUUUAGUCUAUGUAUUGCUGCAUCAUUAUUAGCAGCAUUAUCUAAUGUUAUUGUCAAUAUUUUAUCACGAAUGCCUAAAUCUAUAAUUUCAUCAUUUAUUAAAGAUGCUAUAUUUUUACCACUAUGUGGAGUAUUUAUUAAUUUAAAUAAAAUUAUUCUUUUAUUUAAUUUCCAUUCAUUAUCAAUGUAGUGAACAAUUAUAUAUAAAAAACCAGUAUGAGUUAAAGAUGUCCAAAUGUCAGAUGUUAAACGAAUAUUUCCUUCAAAAUUUGCAAAAUUUUUUUUUAAAAUUUCUUUUUGUGUAUAAAUUUUUUUCAUAAUAUCUCUUUUAACUGUAUUUCCAGAUCAACCUUUAAAUUGAGGAUUAAUACCUCGUUGAAUUGUUCUUGCAAAAUCAUGAGUUUCCAUCAUGUUGAAAGGUUGUUCUGCUCUUAUUAUAUAAUCAAUCAUUUCUUCACAACAGUUAGAUUCAUCAUAAGAAAAUGUUUUUAAAUUUCCACUUUCAUUUUUACUUAAUUGCAUAUAAUUUCUAAUAUCUACAUUAUUUUUAGUUUUACAAUUUUCAUGAUGUCUUUUUAAAUGACUUGUAUCUGCAUUUGAGCCACCAGUAAGAAAUUUAUUACAAAUUUUACAUUUUGCUUUUAUUUUUUUUUUAUUAUUUUCUAAAAUUAUUUCUAUUCUAUCAAAAAAAUUCCAUAUAUUUAAAGUAAAUUUUUUGUUUGAUGAUAUUUCAUCACAUGGACUAGACGAAGAAGCACUUGUCAUAUUAUAAUUAUUGAUAAAAUAUUAUGCCAAAAAUAAUAAAGUAAUAAAUAUAAAAAAAAAUGUAACAAAAAAAAUAAAGUAGUAGGGGUGAAGUAUGUUACUCAAUUAGAGAACCUAUGCAGAAAUUCCUAGCAAAUUUGAACUCUUGGAGCCACCAAUGCUUGUUUUGCACCAUCAACAAUAUUGUAUAAUUUGAGGGAAAAAUAAAAGAAUUUAAAAUAUUGUAGAAUGUGAGAGAAAUAGAGAGAAUUUGAUGAAAAAAUGAAAAGGAAGAAAAUGUAUUUAUAGGAAGGUUAAAAAUAAUAAUAAUAAUAAUAAUAAUAAUAAUAAUAAUAAUAAUAAUAAUAAUAAUAAUAAUAAUUGGCCAUGUGACCGUUGGAGGCUUAGCUCCAACGGUCACAUGGGCUGGAGCUAGGCUCCAACAGUCACAUGACCGUUGGAGCCUUUAAUUUUUUUUUUUAAAAUAAUAUACUUUAUUUUUAUAUAUAUAUAACUAACUCAAUUAAUAAACAUAAAAAGAAUAUAGUUCAGUUGGUUAGAACCUUGAAGUUUAAACAUGAGGGGAGGGGUUUGAAUCCCUCCCUCUCCCUUAGGGGCUUUUUUAAAAGCCAUUUUGGCUUAUUUCAAAAAGCCUGUCGGCCCGACCCGCCCUGCAGCCCGCGGGCCUAGCAUUUUAGCAUGGCCUGGUCUGUUGACUAGUCAAAUGGCUCAUAGGCUCGGCCCGAACUGGGCCGCGGGCCUCUUAUUUACGGACCGGCCCGACCCGGCCCGCCCGUUGGAGACCCUUGAUAAUAUCUUCUAUAUUAAGUUACAUUAUAGUUUAUUUUACAAUAUUAUUAUGAUAAUAUGUCUAAUUUUAAAAUAUAUUUAAUAUUAAAAUUAUGAUCUAUUUUAAUUUAAAUGUAUUCAAUGAUAUCAAAUAAAUAAUAAUAUAUGUAUAAUUCUUUUAUUAUUUAUAUUUAUUAUUUUUAAUAAAUAUAUAGAUUAUAUAAAAAAGACCGGAUAUAUCUUUUCAAAUUUUGUAUCGCUCUCCAAGGAUAUUAGAUGUAUGGGAAUUUGUAUUGCUAUCUACGGAUACGUUGAUAUAUGGGUGAUUUAUCAGGAUAAUUAGAAAUUCUAAUUAUGUAAGCAGGUACGGAGUUCUGUGUCGGUGCGAUCUUGUCGACAACAGCUCCAAAUUGUGCAUCUUGCUCAUAGAGAGUAGCGGAAUGCACCAAUCGUAGGCUCAGAGUACCACUGAGUCGUCUGGCAGAGACCCAACUGAAGGUGCCUGUGUUGUUCCUGAUCUGAUCAGGCUUCAAACUACAAGGUGGAAUACUGGUUCCCCUAUAUCAGAAGCUGGAGAUACCCACCCCAUAUGCUCGUCUGGAUGUGCUCCUACCCUUUGAAGCCUUCUUCCGAGUCAAGUCCGAAUUGAUAAGGCUAGUGAGUUCCCAACCAACUGUACUCAGCAUGCUGCCAGGUGGAGACCCUCCAUAUUUGAUGGCUUCCUAAUAUUAAAAUGCUGACCACUGGUCUUCAUGUUCCACAGGCUUAAUUGUGUCCUUUGCUGAAAGAAUGGAUAGUGAUCCAUUUUAACACAUGAUUCACGCCGUCUUUGCCAUUCUUCAUGGUCUAGCCCUUUUAUAUAUAUGCUUCCUGAACUGUUGCUAUUAAUAAAAUGUGGUAUCUAUCCCGUACACCUUCCUGAUGGCCAGCGAAUGCAGAAGCUACAGAAACGGUUCCAUCUUUUGCUUCCGCCACUUUGGCAUCCUCCAUGAUGAGAUCGAAGGUGAAUAAUCAUAUUCUGGGGAUUUAUGUCCUGGAUAUUCUCAGUAAUGCCCAAUUUCCUGGUGCCGGCCUCAUUUCCAUGGGAACUGAUGGAUAACUUAAGGCUUCUACCAUCUGCGUGGUUCGCUUCUAACACAGGAAACUUCACGGCUAAAAGCAAGAUACCAAGAACAUCAAGGCUGUGACAAAAAUUAGUAUUUUUAACUUGUAGGAAUUUGAAAGGCAACCAACCAUCUAGCUCUGUUCUUAAAGCUCCCAUAGGAGGAUCAGAGGCUGGAUUGCUCAAGAUGAACUCAUCCAUUGUUGCACUUAAAAAGAAUUGGCAUGAAUUGUGGCCGCUCUAAUAGGUUCCCUAAACCAUCAUCCAAGUGGGCUUGCGGAAGGUAGCGAGUUUAAAACACCUAGGGCGAUGAACAGUGGACUGUGAUGCUCACAAAAGAGAAAAGGAAGAAUUCAAUAAUUCCUAAGAAUCCAUUUGCCUGUCAUCCAAAUUUUUAUAUUCUCUUCAGUCUGACGCGUUAUGCCAUAUAUUAAAAAUAGCGGCUUCUUCCAAGCCGAGACAGACUGUGCAAAGUUCGCAAGGCCAAUCAUCACCAUAAUCUGAAGUUGGCCUCCUCAAUCGCAGCUUGUAUCCGAAUGCUCACUUCACGGGAUGGAUUGUAAUGAAAACUAAUCUCAGUCCCAGCUAUGGCAGCAUCCUCACUUGACAGCAUUUUCUGCAUAUUCUAGAACAAAGCAAUAAACCCUCAAAGGCUCCUUCGGAUCAGAGUUAGAAGACUGUCCCUCAGGAACGUGAACACUAUGGUGGUUCUGAUAAGCAGUGAUAUUGCAUUAGAGCCUUUUGGAACAAGAGGAUCUUUUCAGGUGGAAACUGUAAACUGCUUCAUGUUGGGCUGCAACCUUUUCUUCAAGCAAUACUUUCUUUCUGUAUCACGACUUAUGUUGCUUCCGGAGCCAUCCCGUGUGGACUGCCCUUCAGUGAAAGAAUAUGUGUGUUGACAUGUUGGAUUGUAAUCUUUGUUCCACUCUAAUGGCUUUUGGUCCUCCUCUUUCUCUUUAUGACAGAGAACCAUUUAGUGAUCCAUCUCUAUAUUGUAGCAUUGCUGGUGCUUUGCAAUACUACACUCUCACCAAGCAUAACAUCUAUUUUUCCGUGACCAAAGUAUGUCGGUUUAUGCAUGCGCAAACUCUUAUUCAUUGGCAAGUUGUCAAGCGUAUCUCAUGAUUUCCCAAAGCCACAAGUUCUUAUGGUCUUUCUGUUCAAGCUUACAAUGAUCUAUCUUUUCUUGGUUAUACUGAUGUCGAUUGGGCUAGUUGCCCUGAUAACAAGCACAAUACUAGUGGGUACAACACUUUUCCUGGUCCUAAUCUCAUUUCAUGGGCAUUUUCAAAGCAGAAGGUUGUGUCUCACUCCAAUAACGAAUCUGAAUAUAGGGGACUCACUAAUUAAUGUUGUUGCCAAGGUCACUUGGAUUGAAUCUGUCUUACGUGAGUUGCGUGUUUCUCUACCCCAACCACCAAUUUUGUUGUGUGACAACAUUAGUGCUACACACUUGGACAAACCAUGUUGAAAUACACUAUCAUUUUAUCCAUGAAAGGCUUAUGCAUCACACACUCAAAAUUCAAUACACCUCUUCUAUAGACCAACUAGUCAAUGCUAUGACCAAAGCUCUUCCUUCAUCUCACUUGUACAAUCUUCAGUGCAAGCUGAUUGUUCUUCCCAAACCACUCAACUUGAGGGGAGAUGUUAAGCCAAUUUAAUAAAUUGAUUUCUUUUGGUUAAUUUGUUAGAAUCAUUUUUAUUAGAGGUUUGUUUGUACAAUUACAUCCAUUUAUCAGGAGAGUACACGUGUACAACUCCUCUUUUAAUCUCACCAUUGUAUAUAUAUGAUACACGACCUUACUCAGAAUUGCAUAACAUUUCCUCUGCUCAUUCCUUUUCUUCUUUGAAUUUUCCCUUACCUCACUGAUUUUGAUUUAUACCUGGUGUUUUCACCUUUGGUCUCUACCUUUCUAGCCAGUUUUCUAAUUAAUCCGUAUAUGGUAUACCUGUCAACUAAUGAGGAGAAAGAGAAAAGGGGAUUGCUGUUCCACCAGCUACAUAUAAUAAUUAAUUACAAUCAUGGUAAUGGAUCCUGAAAUCCAUCCUUUGUGGAUUUUGUACGGAAUAUUGUUGUUAUGUAUGUGGGCUCACUUAGAUGUAUAUUGCUAGCCUGUCUGGGAAAUGUGAUUGCAGGUCCAGAUUAUGAUGUUGAUAUUAGUGGGAUAAGCAAGAGAUGCAGUUAACACGUAUGUGAUGGACUUGAGUAACUUUUCCAUUUCAGUCCAUUUUUUAAGAUUAUGCUUAGUCUUAUUACAAGGAAAGACCAUAAGAAUCAUGAGUCAUUGGCAAGGUAAUAUCAUUCCCUCUUUACAGGCUUCUUCACCUUUUGGUUUUUUUAAUAUCCAUCAAGAUCUUUUAAUUGGAGGACAAUUACAAGUAUAUAUAUAUGUAUUAAAAGGGGAAAAUAUUAAAACAGGAAAUUUUAGGGAAAAUAUAAUAAUUAUUUCUUCCUUCUUUCCCAUAUAGAACUACACAAAAUAAAACUUUAAUAAUUUUUUCUUAUCUUUUUUAUUAUUAUUUUUUCUUAGAAACAUCCGUGGUCUCACAAGCUUGUAAUCCUAGAUUGUUAGGCUCCUUUAACAGUGCCCCAACAUCGUGGUCCAAUGACAAGCUUCCACGCCUUAAAAUCAGAAAAUGCCAUUAAACUUUAUCAGACAUUACAGUUCAAGACAAAGCUUUCAUUUGCUUAAUGUGAUAAUGAAAUUGUUAAUUUCAUUUCGUGGGCAUCUAAAUUUGGACGAGCAAGACCUCUGAAUUCCCUGUUUUUAUCACCAGCAGAGGAGAUAAAAUCUUAAUGGUGAGAAUCUCCACGUGAAAUUUAUGUGUACUGUCAACAUAUUUUUGUUUAUAUAGUCCAGUAGCUGCAGGAAGUCUAGAUUAUAUAGGUAGCAGUAGCACUAUUUAUAGCACUCGAUAU